UACGUAGGGGGCGAGCGUUGUCCGGAUUUAUUGGGCGUAAAGAGCUCGUAGGCGGUUCGGUAAGUCGGAUGUGAAAUCUCCACGCUCAACGUGGAGGGGCCAUUCGAUACUGCCGUGACUCGAGUCCGGUAGGGGAGUGUGGAAUUCCCGGUGUAGCGGUGAAAUGCGCAGAGAUCGGGAGGAACACCCGUAGCGAAGGCGGCGCUCUGGGCCGGUACUGACGCUGAGGAGCGAAAGCGUGGGGAGCGAACAGG
RNAcentral lists this ribosomal RNA (254 nucleotides) under uncultured bacterium. RNAcentral describes it as "partial 16S ribosomal RNA". It matches the Rfam family "Bacterial small subunit ribosomal RNA", at positions 524 to 776 of the family's 1533-position model. The record is from RNAcentral.